UAAUAAAUAUUACAAUACUUUCCAUGUAAAGUAAAGUAGACCCAUACACAUUGUUUUGUUGUUAUUUUAUUCAAUUUUUGUUAUUUUGUUUGUUUCAAUGCAGAUGGAAAAACACUUGGUGGAAGACACAUCCUCCAUGCAAGUGUUGACUGGACAUUUUUGAAAGUUUUCACCUCAGUUUUGCUUCCAGUUUUCUUUUUAACAUGCAUAACAUCACUGUUGCUCAAAGGUAAGUCUCACUAUUUUUGUUGUAGCCUUAAAAUGAGUCCAAAACAGUUUUGUUGCUAAAAUAGCAAUAAAACACCAUUGCUGUCUGUCAAGAAUACAAGAAGAAAGAGCAGGUCCCACGAGACCAAGACACAAAUCAUGUUGCUAGAAAUUGAACAUUUUAAAUCCGGUUAUCAGGAGUUUAUGUGCUAAAAUUCCAAACUGUCCGAAGGCGGUGUCAGUGAAUCACGUGUUUGGACCCAGACGUCACCUUGGCCUGGCGGGUAUUUGAUUGGUGCUGAACAAAGGCUGCACUCACAAGGCGGGGUCCAGCGCUCUUAUUGGACCGUUCAAAAAAAAACCCCGCGACACUCCUCUAGUUUUAGACGCGCUUUUAAGAGAAUCGGUCUUUAUCACAAAGAACCCUCGUCAUGGUUCUUCCAGACUGUUUCAGAUGAGGACAACAAGUGUUUAGCGACCUUCAUUUAGGAAGAUGAACAUUUGUCUUCUGUUUUGGAUCCUUCUCCCAGCAGCAGAAUGCGGUUCCCAUUCUCUUGAGUUCUUGUCUACAGGACGUGUUCAGCCUGGAUCUGGGCUCCAUUUUGAACAAGUUACAGAGUUUGAUGGAGUUGUGAUCUCUCACUGUGACAGUGGGACACAACAAGAACACUUCAAACCCGUCCUGGAAUCCCACAACUUAACUGGGACCUGCAGAGCAGCAUGUUAUGAUGUUUUUGAUGCUCUCAAAGCGAUUUCUAAAUUCAUCAAUCACACACGGAAUGUUCAGCGGCGGCGUGGCUGCAUCACGUCAGACAAGAGGCUUGAAUCUGCUUUUGACAACUGGGCAGUGAAUGGAGAGGGUUUCAUUCAGUUUGAUGCUGGAGCUCAGAAAUGGAAAGCCCUGUCUCCUUCUGCAGAAAUGAUUAAAGAUUCGUGGAACGGCUAUGAGGCUCGGAACCAUUUGUUUGGACAAUUCAUCAGGAGAUACUGUCUAGAAAUGAUCCAUCAGAUCAAAUUAAAAGAAACGGAAAAAAGAACAGAUCUCCGUGUGUUUGCCAACCCUGUUAACAGAACCAAGGCAUUGCUGAAGUGCCACGUCACAAGUACUGACAAAUCAGUGCGUUCAGUGUCUCUGACUGAAGACGGGGCCCCCAAGGCAAACUGGAUCACUGUAACUGGCCCGUUGCCUUCUGGGGAUGGAUCAGUGAUCCUCAUCCUGACAGCUGAGGUCCCCCUGAUCCACACCAACAUCUAUGGCUGUGUUGUCCAAACAGAAGACAGAACCAUCACUGUCAUGUGGGAUGGAAACACACUUGAUGGACGACACAUCCUUUACAUCCAGAUGACGCUUUGGAGAAUUAUCGGCAUCAUCUUUACAGUUUGUUGUUUAAUCUCCGUAAUGACUCUUUUGUUCACAAGAGAGGAAAAAGUGAUGAGGAAACUUUUCUCACGAGUCCAUUGAAGAAUAACUGGGGGAAGAUGGAUUUUAUCCACGGAGGACUUGAGCAGAGACGACAUCAAUGAUCCAGGAUGUUUUACUCUUCAUGCUGAAAGUGCACGUCUAUAAAGUCACAUGUGCUGUAAUAUUUGGACUGUGUUGUCAUCCAGUAGCAGAGCUUUGGCAUUUAGCUACCAGGCCCCCCUGCUAUGGAACCAGCUCCCUGUCCAGGUACGGGAGGCUCCAUCGCUACUUUUAAGAUCAGACUUAAAACCUUCCUUUUUGAAAAAGCUUAUUGUUACUAAUUCUGCAGUUCCAGUUACUAUCAUAGACAGACAAAUUUUCAUACUUAGAGGGUCGUCGUCUAAUCAUUAGGUCACAUCUUAGCUGUGCUGCUAUAGGCCAAGGCUGCCGGGGUCCGGAAACAUGAUCACCUGACAGGCCUCUGUCACCCCACUGGGUCAUGGUUUCCUCUCCUCUCCUCUCCUCUCCUCUCCUCUCCUCCUCAUCAAGCAGACUAGUUAUGCUGAUUCUUGUGUAGUUUUUCUGCUCCCCCCCCACUAUUCAUUUACAGGUAUUGCCGCCUUCGGAGCUGUGUGAUGACCUCCGGCCCCGCUGACCCGUUGUAUAGUGUAUUUUUGUGUGUGUUUCUGAGCCUCUCCCCUCCCCUCCUCUUCUCCUCCCCCCCUCCCCCCCUCCUCUCUCUCUACCCAGCCCCCCAUCAGCAGGAGGGUCCCCCUACAUGACCCUGGUCCUGCUCAAGGUUUCUUCCUGUUAAAGGGGAGUUUUUCCUUGCCACUGUUGCUUGUCUGGGGUCAGGCCCUGGGAUUCUGGAAAGUGCCUUUAAACAAUUUUGAUUGUAAAAGACGCUAUAUAAAUAAAGAUUGAUUUGAUUUAUGCUGCUGACACGGGUCUAACCUUCACUGACUGUCAUCUGUUUUAAGAAGCCAAACUAUGGAAAGCUUGAGCACUUUGACCCGUCUUAUGUUAUGAAGUUCUUCCUAGAAGAAUUUAACAAAUUCAUGUGAAACUGGUCCACUAAUCUUGUGUGUAAAAUAAUAAACUGUUUAACAGUGUUUGUAAAAUAACUUGCAGAACUUGAUGUGUGAAAUCAUUAAGAGUUUCGCUUUUUUUCAUUAUUAAAUGUUUGUAAAUAUUGUAUGUUUUUACUUCCUGCAAUAAAUGAGUUUUAUUUUUGUUAAGAGCCUGUGUGAUAAUGUUUAUUUUCAUUUACAUGAGGGAAUGUCUGAUUAGGUGAGGUGGCUAACAUUGUCUCAUCACAGCAACAAGGUUGUGGGUUCCAAUCCCCUGGGAUCGCAGCUUUAUCAGUGCAGUUUGGAAGUUCUCCCAGGAUGUUUCACGAAAUGACCACUGACUCUUUUAGUUCAUUUGUGUUUUACCCAUUUUGAAAAUAAACAAACAACUUUAAUUUGGCCAGGUUUAGUUACAUAUUUGGUCUCAUAUUUUAGUCUUUUUCUGGUCAUUAAAGUACCGGUAAUGUCCUGCUGAAACACCAGUACUUUUCAUACAAAGAGAAUCCACACAGAAACCUCUGAAUGUAGAAGGUUUAGGGCAGAACACUGGCUGAACAGGUUCAGGGACACUGUUCUGUCAUCUGUCGCCUGCAGAAAUUAUUAAAGAUUUGUGGAACAACCGUGAGGCUCAGAACCAUUUGUUGGGACACUUCAUCAAGGAACACUGUGCAGAAAUUAUCCAACAGAUCAAAUUAAGAAGUUGAGAAAAGAACAGGUCAACACACACACACACACACACACACACACACACACACACACACACACACACACACACACACACACACACACACACACGUGGGGUAACAGAGAAUAACAACAGCAGCUUGUAAAGCCAAAUGAAGCUACAUCCUGUUUCGUUGUCAUGGUGACCUCCUGUCAGUGUUGAAUGUGCUGAUGGAGCUCAGAUGAGGACAGAAGCAGUUCAGUCUGGUAAAGGUAGCUGAAGGAGCCUGGUGUUGGUUAUGAGCUAAAACUAUGUUGAGAGGAAGAGUGAGCUGCUCAUCACUGCUGGUUCCCUGUUCAAAGAGUGACAACAGACAACCCUGAUCAUCACCUUUUCUGACCUUGGAAUGGUCAAAGUCUCAUCACAAACAGGCAAAAGUAAAAAAAAAAAAUAUCCCUGAAUUACAGGAACACGUGGAUAUUAUUUGUGUACAAGAGGCAUGACUCAAACCAAAUUUGGGUUUAUUAAGUUGAAAGAUAUUUUGGUGUGGAGAUUUUAAUGCACAUGGGGGGAUAUCAGGAAGACUCAAAGUAAUGGAAGACAUGUUAGAUGACAAAGGCAUGCUUGAAUACUGGUUUGGCCGUGAGGGUGAAAGUGGCAAAGGGCACCGAGCCAUCAAGAGAUCACACAUCGGCAUCACAGGUUUUAACAUGGAAAAGCAACUGGGAAGUGUUGAGAAGCAGCACAGUGGGUAGAGACCGUCAUCCAAUAGGUCUAGAAACUGAAAGCGUUAGGGGUCGGAACAAAGGAGGAGGAAGAUGGAAAUGUGAGGGAGCAAAUGGAUACGUUCAGAAUAUUUGCUGGGGCAAACUAAGGGCAGUUGGUGUAAACCAGAACUGAAUAAUGAAAUAUGUCAAUUUAUAAUUGAAGCAGCAAAUGCAACUAUUCCAAGAAGUAAAUAAAAUAAAUUUUAAAAAUGAAAAAAAACCCCUUAAACUCAAGACUUUAAUAAAUUAUAAGGAACAGCAGACAGCAGCUCGUUUUAGGAGCAGCAGACACACACAGGACCGAGUAGAUUGACCAGACUAAACUUUACUGAAAAGGUGGCAGCAGAAUCCCUCAAAGAACCAGAGCUAAUAAAGUCUUUGUCAGAGUAGGCUGGGUGGCACGAACAGACAUCUGAAUGGGCGAUCACAGAGGGCUGCACCACAAAGGGUGGAUAUAGAGGACCAGAAGGUGGCAGCUACAAUAUAGAUGCCAACUGUGGAAGUGGAAGAACAGCAACACCAACAAGACGAAGCCUGGUAGAUUUGUCUGGUUCCGAUCAGGACAAAAAGUAAUGAUGGGCAAAUUAAGCUUUUGUGAAUUCCCGAACCACUUGUAAUGAUUACUAGUAAUGAAACUGCAGUUCUAGCGCCCUCUACUGGCGACCCGCGAGCCUUGCACUGCAGGGUUGGAGCCGCUAUUGGUGACCGGGAGGCGCACACGUGA
This is a long non-coding RNA of Takifugu rubripes (torafugu), 4834 nucleotides long. NCBI's taxonomy places the organism in Eukaryota, Metazoa, Chordata, Actinopteri, Tetraodontiformes, Tetraodontidae. The record is from Ensembl.